UACGUAGGGCGCAAGCGUUGUCCGGAAUUAUUGGGCGUAAAGAGCUCGUAGGCGGCUUGUCACGUCGGAUGUGAAAGCCCGAGGCUUAACCUCGGGUCUGCAUUCGAUACGGGCUAGCUAGAGUGUGGUAGGGGAGAUCGGAAUUCCUGGUGUAGCGGUGAAAUGCGCAGAUAUCAGGAGGAACACCGGUGGCGAAGGCGGAUCUCUGGGCCUGUACUGACGCUGAGGAACGAAAGCGUGGGGAGCGAACAGG
This 253-nucleotide ribosomal RNA is filed under the name uncultured bacterium. RNAcentral describes it as "partial 16S ribosomal RNA". It matches the Rfam family "Bacterial small subunit ribosomal RNA", at positions 524 to 776 of the family's 1533-position model. The record is from RNAcentral.